UUAAGAAAGAUGGGGAAACAGUCAGCCAACAGAACAGACACGGUUUUAGACAAAUGAAAAUCCCAUUACCUCCGAUAAUUUAAAGAUUUGGUUGUGCCUGUCCUUUUCCUUUUCUGAAGCUUCUGCAACACCACAGAUCUAGAGAUUGGACUUCAGCUGAUACAGUGCAGCCACACAAGCCCCUUUGUAUCCUGCAUCUACCAAGAACUCAUAAGAUAGCCUUGACAAGAUUUCUCUCUCAGCCUCAACUUUCCUUUCUUGGUCAACAGCACAGGAGAUACUAACAUAAAGAAGUACUCUAAAAACCUGUGACAACCACAAGGGAUUAGGAUGAUGCGUAAGCCACUUUUGCCAGCUGAAUCUACAUUUCUUCUGCAAAUACCCAAUAGCACAGAGAUCUUACCGAUUUAAAAUCCAGAGAUGGAUGAAAGUGGAAGGAAUGCAAGACAGCUUUAUUUCAUACUGGAUGUGUUGGACUGAAUUUCGUGUAAUGUAAGAAGUUUUCUCAAUCGGGUGUCCUUCGAAUGGAAGUUAAAAUCCACCACAUCUGAGGAAAGACUCAGGCGCUUGAAGACUCCUUUCUAUUGUUGUUUAAGGAUAAAAUAAAAAUGGAAGAUCUGCCUAUCUCCACAACAACCUCAUACAGUGAAUGAGGGAAAUCUACCACUCUAAAAUGUUCAUUUCUUAAAAAAUACAUCAUUAAAUUGAUAAAUAAGUGAAAACUAUCCAGCAAAAGUAAACUAUGAAAGAGUAAAAGUUUAGUGAUUUGCAGGUCCCUAUUAGAGUCUUGAACUUCUGCAUCAAAAUUUAUUGAAAUGGUACAUAAAAUACUCUCUAGAAGUAAAUGUAUUCAUUGUUUAUGCAGUAUUUAGAAUUUCUUUUCAGAUUUUUAUGAGUAUUUUUUUUUAUGAUUUUUAUUUUUAUGAGUGCAGAAAUGUGAACAUUCCUUCUACAAGUAUGAGAAUAUUUAGGGCAGGAAUAUACAGGAAACCAGUUUUCACAUUUAGGUAUUAAUUUUGGAUGCCAGAAACAGAGCUUAUUUGAACACACUAAGGAUUGCAUCACAUAGUUGCAACUCAUCUUAGCAACUCUGUAAGUAUAAGAAAGCCUGGUUUGGCUUUUGCAUAUUGUACAAAUGAUCCUAAAAUGCAGGACUCAGCUUUGGCAAAUCUAAAAUAAAAUUUCAAUCCCACAUGCAAAGUCACUGAACUAACAUUCAUCAACUGAAGAUAAAAAUAGUUUUCAUUGCUGUGAUAGCCUGAUAUAUAUAGAUAUCUACAUAUUCUAUUCUGCUGAUUUGCUAUAGGGAAAAACUGGUUCAGUAAACUUCAUGAAUUGCACAGUGUUCUCCUUGGAAAACAGAAUUGCAUAAUAUGUUGUUAUACUACUGCACGUAGUAAAAAAAAAAAAUCUUGGGUCACAGAGCCAGAAAAAACAACACAUGAAAGGACAAACUGACUACAAGUUCGCCGUUUUGGAUGGAGAAGGGUCUCUGGCAAGAUCCUACUGCUUUUAGCUCAUGUGUUUUUCAUUUAAUUUAGUUCAUGUAAGGUUCUUUCAAGGAGAGGGAAUAGAAACGCAGUAAAUCUCUGUAGGAAUCAGAGCUGUGUGAGUUUGAGAAACAUACUGGGCAAAUCAGCUUGUUUUGUCCAUUAAAUAAGAGGGGUUUGAGAGCCAACUGCGAACUCAAUUAAAAUGGAUGAGUGUGUGGAGGGGGAGAUAGUUGAAUUGAGAGUUGGCAUUUGAGGAUAUGGAAAAGGGGAAACUUAACAAUUUCUUCCAUUUAUGUAGUUCUUUUUCUUCUCUUCAUCCAAGAUGUCCAUAAAUGUAACUAUCUGGAAAUCUUCCAUUAAGUCUUCUGUUGUCUCCUCACUUUCUUACAUUUCCCUGAUAAGAUCAUACAAAUACACAGUUGGAAGGAACUACUUAGGUCAUGACAUUCACCUUCUGAUAGAGGCAGGAAUUCUCUCUCUUCCAACAAACAUGUAUAAAGUGUUGCAGAUGUUCAUCUCUACUGAUGGAUGCCUAUAUUUAUCUAAGGAUAGAAAGAGACCUCAAGAGAUCUUUCGGUGAUGCCUCAGUGAUUGCCAGUUCAAACAAACCAGUUCCAGGUAGCUGAUUCACUUCUAUAAUUGCCACUUCAAGCCUGGCUCAUUCACAGAUAUGUUGAGACUACAGCUUUCAGAAUUCCCAGCCAAUAUCAUGCUGAUUGACCAUUCUCAGAAGCUAUGGGGCCCAUGACAUCAAUCGGAUGGCAAGUUGGGAAAAGCUGCUAUAAUGAAUGAAAACCCUUUUCUGCUCAAAGGUAUGGAGUUGUGGGGUUUUAGCAUGGGGGAAAACCCCCCCUUUUUUUACAAAUAAAUCUUCCAGCAUCUGAGCAGUAAUGCAGGAAUUACAAAAUAGGAACUUCCCUACCACCAUCUGUUCAAUCUGCAAACCAUUCCCAACACAGUUAAAAUCUAAUCCUCAUUUUCCCACAUUGUCUGUAUUGCCUCCAAAAUGAAAACAUGUUCAAGAUGGCAUUGUUUAUACGCUAGCAAAUCUGGAUCUUGCAGGGACCCAGAUUCAGCCAAUCAUUGCUCAAUCACAGUUAACUCACUGCUGAGCAAAGACAGUGUAAUAGGCCAAUAGGAACUCAGAAUAGAAUAGAAUAGAAUAGAAUUUUUUUAUUGGCCAAG
Molecule: long non-coding RNA, 2678 nt
Organism: Ahaetulla prasina
Lineage: Eukaryota; Metazoa; Chordata; Lepidosauria; Squamata; Colubridae
Exons: 3
Source: RefSeq, a predicted model, not a curated record